ACUGCAUAGUAAAAGAUGUUUGUUAGCAACAGAGUAGUCUUUUUGAAAAAAAAAGUUCCUUAGAGAAGGAGCCAAUGUUUAUAAAAUUAAACUUGAUGAAGUUCAAGAGAUGGAAGGACCAACAAAUACAGAAUUAGAUUUGAUUAGAGAAUCAAAUUUGGAGAUAGUAUAGGCACCAUUGAUGAGAUCUGAUAGAGUACCACAUCAGUUGGAUAAAUACUAUAAUUUUUUGAUCCGAGAUGGUGACCCCA
RNAcentral lists this long non-coding RNA (251 nucleotides) under Elaeis guineensis (African oil palm). RNAcentral describes it as "long non-coding RNA (EGUI_LNC039025)". The record is from RNAcentral. Lineage: Eukaryota; Viridiplantae; Streptophyta; Magnoliopsida; Arecales; Arecaceae.